GGGGAUAUAGCUCAACUGGGAGAGCGCCUGCCUUGCACGCAGGAUGUUGCAGGUUCAAGUCCUGUUAUCUCCACCA
Molecule: transfer RNA, 76 nt
Filed under: Bacteroidales bacterium
Lineage: Bacteria; Pseudomonadati; Bacteroidota; Bacteroidia; Bacteroidales
Description: tRNA-Ala
Rfam family: tRNA
About the family: Transfer RNA (tRNA) molecules are approximately 80 nucleotides in length. Their secondary structure includes four short double-helical elements and three loops (D, anti-codon, and T loops).
Source: RNAcentral